Cyprinus carpio carpio is the source of this 3591-nucleotide long non-coding RNA. The record is from Ensembl. NCBI's taxonomy places the organism in Eukaryota, Metazoa, Chordata, Actinopteri, Cypriniformes, Cyprinidae.
AUGUUGAAAAUGUCUGUGAAGACAUCAGUGAGUUCUGCUGCACAGUCUCUCAGUACACGCCCAGGAAUGUUGUCAGGACCCGGAGCUUUGCGUGCAUUGAUCCUGCUGAAGGAUCUCCUCACGCUGUCUGGGGUCAGCAUCAUCACCUGGUCACUGGGAGGAGGUGGAGAGGAGGAGACAAGAAGAGGGGGGAGUUCAGAUUUGGGCUGGGCUUUGCUAGCUUCUUCCCAUGAACCUCAUGUACAUGGUACACCAAAGACAGCGCGCUCACACACACUGCGAAACACAGACCCAUCAAAACCAAUUACGGGUGACUGGGGCGUCCAAAGAGAGCAUGGACAUAGGAUGAAAUUGGGGUCACAGAGAGAGUUUAGGGAGGCUGUUCCUGGAACCAAUAGGUUACAGAGCACCUCCUGUAGCCUUUUGUCUUCAUAAAUCCAUGGUUGUCUUUAAGACGCCUUUCCACUAAGAACAAAUGUGUCAUGAAGAAUCAAUGCUAGACUAAAGAAAAUUGAGGUAGAUGGAUUUAACAGCAUCUUGAAACAUAUAAUUGUUCAGUUUAUGUUCUAUGCUUCUAUGUUCUGAUCAUCAUAAACUGGAUUUAUUUUGCAAUAAAAAGCAGCUAACUAUACAUUGCAACUUACCAAAAAAAUAAAUAAAUAAAUGGGCAUGAAAUAUUUAUUUCAGUCAACAGGAAAAAAAAAAUAGUCAAAAUGAUGUGUGAAGAAAGUGAAAACAAUAGCACAAUAAUUGUUCAAGCUCCGCCCAUAGUAGUUAGUGUUGCUAACUUAUACCAGUUUGUGCAACAUUCAAAAUUCAUUGAGAAUGACUUUCAAAUUUGAACCGGGUACACAAACAGAAUACAGAAUUUCAAUUCAAUUUAAAUUAAACUGAAAUUCAAAGAAAUUCAUAUGACUGUAACAGUUGAUAAUGUAUAGAGAAUGUAUUUAGUUUAUAUACUUUGUAACAGAUAAAAUCUCUAAAUAAUAAUACAUACACACACACACACACACACACACACAUGCAUUAUCAUUAUAGUUCAAUUUCAUAUAUUUUAAUAUGCAUAAUUAUUACCAUUGUAAUUCACUUUCUCUGAAUUACAAAUCCUCUGUCAAUCCAAUCCAAAUUCCAACUUCAGCUUCCCAAUUCCAAAAUCUAAUUCCAACUUCCUGUGUCAAAUGUCCAGGACUCAUUAAUUGAAAGGAAGUCAAUUCUUUAAUUCUGAAUAACCAUUACAAAACACAACAGAAUGCUGCCACUGUCCAAUCGGAAUCAAGUAUUCCAGAGAGCCACAUAAUGAAGUGAGAUCUCAUGAGGUAUUAAAAGAUAACACAGACCGACUGAGGUGAGAUAUGAAAGGAACUCUUAAAGGAAACUGACGCUUUACCACUUUUAACAUCUGAAAAAGACUUGACCUUCCUCAUGAACCCUAACAUGGUCAAAGCCAAAGGGCUUCUUAAAGGGCAAGAGGUAUUGACACAUCAACCACUUCAACACCUUCACAAAGAUAUUCAUAGAUGUCUUUAACAAAAACAAAACAAAACAAAAAAUGAUCAUCUUAUUAAUGAAUUGCAAGAUGCAUUUUGUCAUCAUUUUGCAGCACAGGAAACAGGCCUUAUUAGGUAAUGUGGAAAUGUUAUAAACAAUACUAACAUGAAACAAUGCAUGGAUUAAAUACCUCACUUCCUUCUCACCAGCAUCCUUUUCAGCACAGAACAAAUAAAACAAAACAAAAAUAUUUGUAGCUGCACACUGAAUAAUAAAUUCAAAGCGCUUUGAGAUGGAGCCAGAUUCACAUGACCUGUACUGUGUUGGUUUGCCAAGGAGGCACAGAGUUCAUUCGCUGUACGGCGCCAUCUAUCAAUCAGCUGAGGAACACAAUGGCCUGUUUCUCAGAACUUCCUCAACAGGAAUAACAUGCUUGGAAUUACUGGCAACAAACAGCUUUUUUCCAAAUUACAGAGUGUUUUGUUCAUGUGAUGAUCACAGAAUGAUUAUAGUACUUGUCGUUCAAAGAGUUAUCCACCGGCUUAUGAUGACUAACUACAGCGGUCAUGUGGGCUAAACAUCAUACUGCAUCACCGAUGGCUGCUUGAAGAUCCAUGGAGAUAAUGCUAUAAAGCAGUGUUGCAGGCAGCAGGGGAAAUAAUACUAAAUUGGAAUCCUAAAAAAAAAACAUUUAACAUUGUAACAUUUAACAAAAAUUAAGAGAUUUCAUUUAACAUCACUGUUAAAUGUCUUAAACUUAGUGUUAGAUGAUGAUGAAAGUUAAUGUAAAUAAAAAAGCACAAUUAAAUUUAACUGGUAUAUACACUACUGUUCAAAAUUUCAAAAAUGAAUACUUUUAUUCAGCAAGGAUCCAUUCAAUUGAUCAAAAGUGACAGUAAAGAUGUGUAAAUUGUUACAUUAAAAUUCUAUUUUAAAUAAACGCUGUUCCUUUUAACUGUUCCUAUAGUUAUCAUUUUAACUGUUCCUAUAGUUAUCAAAGUGAUUUUAAAGACAUGUCUUCAAUUUUGUACAAUAAACAAUUCUAUUAAUCAUUGAUUUCAAAUGUAAAAUCUACAUCCUGAAGCAAAACCAGUUGAGAAUCACUGCUCUAACAUCCUUGAAGUGAUUAUAAAAUGCUUGAAUGGUGAUGGAUACUAUUUCCAAAUAUAACACAUUGAUGCAGUUACUCUGCCCUCUUAAACGUGUGUGUGUGGGAGUGGAAGGCAGGGUUAGGUAAGGUGAUGGUGGUAGUUUUGAUGUAUUAUAUGCCAGAAUGCUCUGUCUGUUCCAGCACAGCGCAGGGUUUGGGUGGCAGCCAGACUCUUCUGUUACCAUGAGAACCAUUUACUCCAGUCUGGCAUCACAAGAGCAUUUCAGCCCUUUGCUACAGGAUGAACCAGUCAAUACAAAAUAAAUAAAUAAUCAAAUAAAUACAACAUGCCUGACAAAAGCGGACAGCAAGGUGUAUAAAUAGUGAAUUCCCCAAAUAUAUUCAAUGGUCCAUCAUCCCAGAUGGCCAAAAUCCCUAUAAAUUCCACAAAAGAAAACGCUGUCAAGUAGUUCUCGGAACAAAACACAGUCAUACUCUGUUGGACAGGAAGGAGAAUUCCCGGGUAAUUCCACAGAAUCUGUGUGUCAGCAGAGGGAUAUUACACUCUUUAAAAACAACAGGGGCCACGGGCAAUGAUGUACAGCAGAGUGAGGGAGGGUGGACAUAAACAUUACUAGAAAAAUAUGAAAUAUUCGGGAAAGGUCACCGACAUUGAACGGAAAGUCCAUGCACUCAUGAGGCUUGAAAUUUGAUGAGUAAUAAUUUGACUAAGGAAAUUGUUAGAGCCAGGAUUGUUGUAUAAAUAUAAGGGCCAAGUUUCUUAUUAUUAGUAUCACAAGAUGUGUUUUAGCUGUCAUAUAGCGCUCCCUGCUGGCAAUACCUGCUUCAGUUCAAAUGCAUCAUUCCCACAGGAAAGCUAAAGAGCUUAAUCACUGAAUUUAACUGAAAAUAAAUAAAUAAAUAAAUCUUCUUAAGUAGUUUUGUCUUGCAAUAUCCUAACAUCCUUUAAACAAGACACAGUAUAUUUACAUUAGUCUUGAUUUCAGAUAAAU